AACAGGAUUAGAUACCCUGGUAGUCCACGCCGUAAACGAUGUCGACUUGGAGGUUGUGCCCUUGAGGCGUGGCUUCCGGAGCUAACGCGUUAAGUCGACCGCCUGGGGAGUACGGCCGCAAGGUUAAAACUCAAAUGAAUUGACGGGGGCCCGCACAAGCGGUGGAGCAUGUGGUUUAAUUCGAUGCAACGCGAAGAACCUUACCUACUCUUGACAUCCAGAGAACUUAGCAGAGAUGCUUUGGUGCCUUCGGGAACUCUGAGACAGGUGCUGCAUGGCUGUCGUCAGCUCGUGUUGUGAAAUGUUGGGUUAAGUCCCGCAACGAGCGCAACCCUUAUCCUUUGUUGCCAGCGGUUAGGCCGGGAACUCAAAGGAGACUGCCAGUGAUAAACUGGAGGAAGGUGGGGAUGACGUCAAGUCAUCAUGGCCCUUACGAGUAGGGCUACACACGUGCUACAAUGGCGCAUACAAAGAGAAGCGACCUCGCGAGAGCAAGCGGACCUCAUAAAGUGCGUCGUAGUCCGGAUUGGAGUCUGCAACUCGACUCCAUGAAGUCGGAAUCGCUAGUAAUCGUGGAUCAGAAUGCCACGGUGAAUACGUUCCCGGGCCUUGUACACACCGCCCGUCACACCAUGGGAGUGGGUUGCAAAAGAAGUAGGUAGCUUAACCUUCGGGAGGGCGCUUACCGCUUUGUGAUUCAUGACUGGGGUGAAGUCGUAACAAGGUAACC
This 730-nucleotide ribosomal RNA is filed under the name uncultured bacterium. RNAcentral describes it as "bacterial SSU rRNA". It matches the Rfam family "Bacterial small subunit ribosomal RNA", at positions 771 to 1501 of the family's 1533-position model. The record is from RNAcentral.